This 389-nucleotide ribosomal RNA is filed under the name uncultured delta proteobacterium. Its description in RNAcentral is "bacterial SSU rRNA". It matches the Rfam family "Bacterial small subunit ribosomal RNA", at positions 9 to 394 of the family's 1533-position model. The record is from RNAcentral. Lineage: Bacteria; Deltaproteobacteria.
GAGUUUGAUCAUGGCUCAGAGCGAACGUUAGCGGCGCGCCUAACACAUGCAAGUCGCACGAGGUAGCAAUACCUAGUGGCGCACGGGUGCGUAACACGUAGAUAAUCUGCCCUUCAGCGGGGGAUAACGUUCCGAAAGGAGCGCUAAUACCGCAUACAGCAGCGAGUGGUUCGCCAUUUGUUGGCAAAGGCUGGGAUCUUCGGACCAGCCACUGAAGGAGGAGUCUGCGGCCCAUCAGCUAGUUGGUAAGGUAACGGCUUACCAAGGCAAAGACGGGUAGCUGGUCCGAGAGGAUGAUCAGCCACACUGGUACUGGAACACGGACCAGACUCCUACGGGAGGCAGCAAGUGGGGAAUCUUGGUCAAUGGGCGCAAGCCUGAACCAGCGA